This is a non-coding RNA of Cariama cristata (Red-legged seriema), 353 nucleotides long. The record is from the annotation of a RefSeq genome assembly. NCBI's taxonomy places the organism in Eukaryota, Metazoa, Chordata, Aves, Cariamiformes, Cariamidae.
GCAGACUGGUCUCAGCAUUCACCUCGAGUAUCUCAUCCUCACUGGCUUCCUGGGGCAACUGCUGGGCACCAUGGGGCAGAUCACUGUCACUCAGCAAGAAGGACAAGUCACAGUGAAGCAGAGAGACACCUUCCAAACAAUCUGCACUUAUCAGGUUUCUGGCUUUCAAGGCUUGUUCUGGUACCAGCAGAAGACAGACCAAGCCCCACAGCUGGUCUCAUCCCAGGCAGCAGCUGGCCCCAAGCAGAGCGGCCGGUUCACCACCUUGCUGAACAACCCCGGGCCUCCUGCAGCUGGAGGAAGUCGAGGUCUCUGACAGUGCCUUGUACCUCUGUGCUGUGCAAGACACCCUG